This is a microRNA precursor of Gorilla gorilla gorilla (western lowland gorilla), 76 nucleotides long. Lineage: Eukaryota; Metazoa; Chordata; Mammalia; Primates; Hominidae. The record is from Ensembl.
GGAGCUUGUUACAGAUGCAGAUUCUCUGACUUCUUACUGCACCAGUGAAGUCAGGAUCUGCAUUUGAAUAAGACCC